Molecule: ribosomal RNA, 305 nt
Filed under: uncultured bacterium
Lineage: Bacteria
Description: bacterial SSU rRNA
Rfam family: Bacterial small subunit ribosomal RNA
Source: RNAcentral
GCCUACGGGGGGCAGCAGUGGGGGAUAUUGCACAAUGGGGGAAACCCUGAUGCAGCGACGCCGCGUGAGCGAUGAAGUAUUUCGGUAUGUAAAGCUCUAUCCGCAGGGAAGAAAAUGACGGUACCUGACUAAGAAGCCCCGGCUAACUACGUGCCAGCAGCCGCGGUAAUACGUAGGGGGCAAGCGUUAUCCGGAUUUACUGGGUGUAAAGGGAGCGUAGACGGCAGUGCAAGUCUGAAGUGAAAGGCAAGGGCUCAACCUUGGACUGCUUUGGAAACUGUGCUGCUGGAGUGUCGGAGAGGCAA